ACUAAAAUAGUUUAAUGUAUAAAAAUAUUAGUCUUGUAAACUAAAGUUGUCUUUCUUUUAGUG
This 63-nucleotide transfer RNA is filed under the name Longipodacrangonyx sp. 1 MDMBR-2012. RNAcentral's name for it is "transfer RNA Threonine". It matches the Rfam family "tRNA". From Rfam's summary of the family: Transfer RNA (tRNA) molecules are approximately 80 nucleotides in length. Lineage: Eukaryota; Metazoa; Arthropoda; Malacostraca; Amphipoda; Metacrangonyctidae. The record is from RNAcentral.